CUACGGGCGGCUCCAGUGGGGAAUAUUGCACAAUGGGCGCAAGCCUGAUGCAGCCAUGCCGCGUGUAUGAAGAAGGCCUUCGGGUUGUAAAGUACUUUCAGCGGGGAGGAAGGGAGUAGAGUUAAUACCUUUGCUCAUUGACGUUACCCGCAGAAGAAGCACCGGCUAACUCCGUGCCAGCAGCCGCGGUAAUACGGAGGGUGCAAGCGUUAAUCGGAAUUACUGGGCGUAAAGCGCACGCAGGCGGUUUGUUAAGUCAGAUGUGAAAUCCCCGGGCUCAACCUGGGAACUGCAUCUGAGACUGGCAAGCUUGAGUCUCGUAGAGGGGUGUAGAAUUCCAGGUGUAGCGGUGAAAUGCGUAGAGAUCUGGAGGAAUACCGGUGGCGAAGGCGGCCCCCUGGACGAAGACUGACGCUCAGGUGCGAAAGCGUGGGGAGCAAACAGGAUUAGAUACCCCAGUAGUC
Molecule: ribosomal RNA, 464 nt
Filed under: uncultured bacterium
Lineage: Bacteria
Description: partial 16S ribosomal RNA
Rfam family: Bacterial small subunit ribosomal RNA
Source: RNAcentral